Populus nigra (black poplar) is the source of this 5983-nucleotide RNA transcript. It is a transcript of the gene named receptor-like protein kinase, with no coding region annotated. NCBI's taxonomy places the organism in Eukaryota, Viridiplantae, Streptophyta, Magnoliopsida, Malpighiales, Salicaceae. The record is from RefSeq and is a predicted model, not a curated record. The transcript has 3 exons.
CAAAGUGAAGUCCACUUUACACUGACCCUGUCUGAACCAAACCAACCCGGCUGUAGCUUGAAGCUGCGUUGAAAUUGUUAAGAUUUCACACUCUUGAUUGCGAUCGACAGUACCAACCACUCUUUUUUCCCCUUUAUAAACUGCAUUUUCACUAGAGGAAUCCACUAGGACAACAUUCAACACUAGCACUCCAUUACAUCUUUGUCUUCCCCAAAAAUUCCUUUCGUAUCUACAAUCACAGCUCCCCAAAUGGUUACUUUUCUUGCUUACUCUAGCUAGGUAAGUGUGCUUUCUAACAUUCCUUGCAAACCCCAGUUUCCUUUAUUCUGUCAUUUUUUUGGGUAGUUAAGAAUACCAUGAAUCUUUUUUUGCGUCAUUUCUUCUUGCUGUUGUGGUGUUGCUUUGUGUCUGUAUGUACUAAUAGUGUCUCCGGUUUGAACUAUGAUGGCUUGGCUCUGAUGUCACUCUUGAGGAAAUGGGAUUCUGUGCCUACUUCCGUUACUUCAAGUUGGAAUUCUUCAGACUCGACUCCUUGUUCUUGGCUAGGUAUAGGAUGUGAUCAUAGAAGUCAUUGUGUGGUUUCUUUGAACCUUUCUGGCUUAGGAAUUUCUGGUCCUUUGGGACCUGAAAUUGGGCAGUUAAAGCAGUUAAAGACUGUUGAUUUGAACACCAAUUAUUUCUCUGGUGAUAUACCCUCACAGUUGGGAAAAUGUAGUCUCCUUGAGUACUUGGAUUUGUCUGCAAAUAGCUUUACUGGUGGAAUACCUGAUAGCUUUAAGUACUUGCAAAAUUUACAAACAUUGAUUCUUUUCUCUAAUUCACUGUCUGGUGAAAUACCUGAAUCAUUGUUCCAAGAUUUGGCUUUACAAGUUUUGUAUUUGGACACCAAUAAAUUCAAUGGUUCCAUUCCUAGGAGUGUUGGUAACUUGACUGAGCUUUUAGAACUGACCUUAUUUGGAAAUCAAUUGUCUGGGUCAAUCCCUGAGUCUAUUGGAAAUUGUAGAAAAUUGCAAUCUCUCUCUCUGAGUAAUAACAAGUUAAGUGGUUCUUUGCCUGAGAUUCUAACUAAUCUUGAAAGCCUUGUUGAAUUAUUUGUUAGUCAUAAUAGUCUUGAGGGUAGAAUUCCUUUAGGUUUCGGCAAAUGCAAGAAUUUGGAAACCUUAGAUUUGUCAUUCAAUAGCUAUAGUGGGGGUCUUCCACCAGAUUUAGGCAAUUGUAGUAGCUUAGCAACCUUGACCAUUAUCCAUAGCAACUUAAGAGGCGCUAUCCCAUCUUCCUUUGGCCAACUGAAAAAGCUUUCUUUGCUCGACCUUUCUGAGAAUCGACUGUCUGGGACGAUUCCUCCUGAACUUAGUAAUUGCAAGUCCUUGAAGACCUUAAAUUUAUACACAAAUGAGCUUGAGGGAAAGAUUCCGAGUGAGUUGGGGAGGCUAAACAAAUUGGAGGACCUCGAAUUGUUCAGCAAUCAUUUGAGUGGUGAAAUUCCUAUUAGCAUCUGGAAGAUUGCGAGCCUUAAGUGCCUCCUUGUGUAUAACAACAGUCUUUCCGGUGAAUUGCCUCUUGAGAUCACUCAUCUCAAGAACCUAAAGAACUUGUCACUAUACAACAACCAGUUCUUUGGUGUCAUACCCCAAAGUUUGGGAAUCAACAGCAGUUUGUUGCAGCUGGACUUCACAGAUAAUAAGUUCACAGGUGAAGUUCCCCCAAACCUUUGCCAUGGAAAGCAGUUGAGAGUUCUUAAUAUGGGCCGGAACCAACUUCAAGGCAGCAUUCCUUCUGAUGUGGGAGGCUGCUUAACACUCUGGAGAUUGAUCCUCAGGGAGAACAACCUCUCAGGUGCCCUUCCAGAAUUUUCAGAAAAUCCAAUCCUCUAUCACAUGGACAUCAGCAAAAAUAAUAUUACAGGCCCAAUUCCACCCAGCAUUGGGAACUGUUCUGGUCUCACUUUCAUUCAUCUUUCCAUGAACAAGCUUACAGGGUUUAUACCCUCAGAGCUAGGAAAUCUUGUAAACCUUCUGGUAGUGGAUCUUUCAUCCAACCAACUGGAAGGUUCUUUGCCAUCGCAGCUGUCAAAGUGUCACAACCUAGGCAAGUUUGAUGUAGGGUUCAAUUCACUGAAUGGCUCAGUUCCAUCGAGUUUAAGGAACUGGACCAGCUUGUCCACUUUGAUUUUAAAAGAGAAUCAUUUUAUUGGGGGAAUUCCACCUUUCCUCUCAGAACUUGAAAAGCUUACAGAGCUACAACUUGGUGGAAAUUUUCUGGGAGGUGAGAUUCCUUCAUGGAUUGGGUCUUUACAGAGUCUGCAAUAUGCAUUGAAUCUCAGCAGUAAUGGAUUGUUUGGAGAGCUUCCUUCAGAGCUGGGGAACUUGAUCAAGCUUGAACAGCUUCAGUUAUCAAACAAUAAUCUGACAGGAACUCUAGCACCUCUUGAUAAAAUCCAUUCGUUGGUCCAGGUCGAUAUUUCAUACAAUCACUUCAGUGGUCCAAUACCAGAAACACUAAUGAACUUGCUUAACUCAUCGCCGUCAUCAUUCUGGGGCAAUCCCGAUCUAUGUGUCAGUUGUCUUCCAUCAGGUGGCUUAACAUGCACCAAAAAUAGAAGUAUCAAGCCAUGUGACUCUCAGUUAAGCAAGCGAGACAGCUUUUCUAGAGUGGCUGUCGUGCUGAUAGCUAUUGCUUCUGUGGUUGCUGUUUUCAUGCUUGUUGGACUGGUUUGCAUGUUUAUCUUGUGCAGAAGAUGUAAGCAGGAUCUUGGGAUCAACCAUGAUGUUGAAAUUGCUGCUCAAGAGGGCCCUUCUUCCCUACUCAACAAAGUGAUGCAAGCUACUGAGAAUCUAAAUGACAGACAUAUCGUUGGGAGGGGAACCCAUGGAACCGUUUAUAAGGCUUCAUUGGGUGGAGACAAAAUCUUUGCAGUUAAGAAGAUAGUAUUUACAGGCCACAAAGGAGGAAACAAAAGUAUGGUUACAGAAAUUCAAACCAUUGGGAAAAUUAGGCACCGGAAUCUGCUGAAAUUGGAAGGCUUUUGGUUACGGAAGGAUUAUGGUCUGAUCCUGUAUGCCUACAUGCAAAAUGGGAGCGUUCAUGAUGUCUUACAUGGGAGCACACCACCGCAAACCUUGGAGUGGAGCGUACGCCAUAAAAUAGCUUUAGGAACUGCCCAUGGUUUGGAAUAUCUCCACUAUGACUGCAAUCCUCCUAUUGUGCAUCGAGACAUCAAACCAGAAAACAUUCUCUUAGACUCUGAUAUGGAGCCUCAUAUCUCUGAUUUCGGUAUAGCUAAGCUACUUGAUCAGUCUUCUGCUUCAGCACAGUCUUUCCUGGUUGCAGGCACAAUUGGAUAUAUAGCACCAGAAAACGCCUUGUCGACAAUAAAGAGCAAGGAAUCGGAUGUUUAUAGCUAUGGGGUUGUUUUGCUUGAGCUGAUAACUAGAAAGAAGGCAUUGGAUCCAUUAUUUGUGGGGGAAACAGAUAUUGUAGAGAGGGUCAGAUCUGUUUGGAGCAGCACAGAAGACAUCAACAAGAUUGCUGAUUCAAGCCUAAGGGGGGAGUUUUUGGAUUCAAGUAUCAUGAAUCAAGCCAUUGAUGUGCUUUUGGUGGCUUUGAGAUGCACUGAAAAGGCGCCUAGCAGAAGACCCACAAUGAGAGAUGUUGUCAAGCAAUUAGUAAAAAGAAACGCCAGCAUUAGAGGCAAACGCAGCUGAAGUUUUGUAGGGUUUUUUUAGAAUAUUAGCCCCUUUUUUUUUUUUUUUUUUAAUAUAAGUAUUUAGGCCAGUUUGUAGAAACUUAUAAGUUUCUAGUAGUUAUUAUAUAAAUAAUUACAAGAUUUGAACCUAAAAUAAAAAACAAAUAUUUUAAUUUCAAACUCUUGCUUAGCGUUACCAUAUCUUGUGAAAUGAACCAAAUGGAAUAAAGCAAUGAUAUGUAUAUAUAAGAUGUUUUUAACUUUUUAUUCCACUCGUUUUUGACCGUUGAUCUGCCUGGACACCCAGGUUUAACAAACCUGGAUCGACUUUUAUCAGAUUUUUUUUUUAAAAAAAAAACUCAUCUCAAAUGCUAAGUUCUACCCCCAUACCACCCAAACAUUUAAAAAGAUUCAACGAAGAAGAAAAUUUUCGAGAGAAAAAAAGGGCAAGAAGACUCCUUUCCAAGUUGGCUUUCCACGCUGUCUCCGCCGAAACCGAUGACCGAAACCACCGCAUUAACAACCCGAGCCACAACCUUCGUGUCCUCCUUCAACAAGGCGGCAACGAAAUCGCUUAUAACUUCACCAGAUCUCUCAUCCUCUCCGCCUUCUCUCUCUGUUUUCUCUUUCUUCUUCCUCUCUCGGAUAUGCUACGUUUUAUAUGUUCUGGGUCUGAAUUGCGCGGUUUUACGAUCUCAUGAGGCGAGAAGGCCGGCUUCCUUCGUUUGGUUAUUUGAGAAAAAAUGUUGAAUCUAUGGUGGAAUCCAAGAAACUUGAUAAGGUUCUUGAUGCGCUGUGGAGUUGUUCGAGGCUAUGAAGAGGAGGAAAGCUGGUCCUAAUGUGUUUGCUUACAAUGUUUUGAUUGGUGGGUUGUGGAAGGAGAAGAGGAAAGGAUUGCAGAGAAGGUGUGUGAGGGAUUUGGCGCCGAAAAGGGUGGCUUUUAAUAAGCUUAUUGGUGGGUAUUGUAAGGUUGGGGAGGUGGAUAGGGCUUAUAGCUUGAAAGAGAGGAUGAAGAGGUGGAAGUUGUUACUUUUAACUCGUCGCUUAGUGGCUUUGUAAGGUGCGGAGAAUGGAGGAGGCGAGGAGUAUGUUGAAGGAGAUGGAAAGUAAUGGUUUUAUUGUGAACGGUAAUUGUCAGAUUGGUAUAGAGAAAUGCUUGAGAACGGUUUCCGUCCUAUUGUCUGCAUCAGCUUAGAAAGGGAGGGGGGGUUGCAAGAGGCCCGGAUUGUCAGCUCUGAAAUGAUUGUGAAUGGAAUGGAUGAUUUGAACAGUAAUGAGGAGCUGUCUGCUGUUGCCAAGAUACAAGAGGUGUUCUUGGAACGGCCAUUUUUCAGCUACAAGUAUCAGCUUUGCUAAUUGGUUUUCGAUUUCUCAUCUGCUUCUUUGCUACGCAACUGGUUAUGUGGUCGAGUUUUUUCUGGGUCUACUCUCUGUUUCUGAUUUGCGAGGUGAUGCGAUGUGCUCAGUGAAUUUCCUUUCCUUUUGCCUGUUUUGUCUCUGCUUUCCAUCCUCUUUGUUACCUACGAUGUGCAGGGCUUGCUGUGCAUUGCUUGGCUACUCUUACAGUGCUCCACUGAUUUCACAGGCUUUUGUUUUGAUCACUUGGUUCUUUUAACGACGGGUUCAUAUUUUUCUUAACUAUCCAUCAAGGCUAGGUGCAUGCAGAUCCUGGGAUAACAAGAAUUACUCAUGCUUUGAUGGUGUUCUUGUGGAUGCUGAGGGAUGUUAAGCUCCAUUUGUUCAGUUUUAAUUAUCAUGAUUGCAAGGUGCAAUGUUUUAUUUUAUCCCUUAAAGAGUUGGUUUUCAAAAUACCAUCUCAAUAUAAAGCAGGUUAAAUAUCAUUCGGACCUAAACCACUCACCAGCCAGCUAGACUAGCAAUACUAGUACAAGAUAAAUAAGCAAUGAAACUACAUAUGCAUCUGCCCUUUCCUUAUAUAUUUUGUUAAUACACUAAUUUCACUUCACUUCUGGUCUGAAUCUUGGUAGGGUAAUGCACAUGACCAUGGAUGUGAAGGACGUUGCGAGCUUUUCAGCGGCUUUGGAAGUGGGUGUAGUCUUUGAGAUCCCAGGCUUCUAUGGAAUGCCGAAUCUUCUAGCAUUGUUGCUGCUAACAACUGCAUGUUGUGUUAUUGAUGAAGAAAACAAUCUACAUUGGAAAGGAGCUCGCGAAGAUUGGCGUUCGAUACCGUGCUAUAGGUUUGACAUUGACAGUUCCUUGUUUAUCGGUCCAGGUCAAUAUUUCAUGCAAUCAUUUUGCAGGUCCAAUGCCUGAAUGAAUACUGAUGAACUUGCUCAA